ACUUGCUAGCAUAACCGCAUAAAUUUUAAAUAACAAAAUUAAUACGAAAAUUAACACUAAUAAUUAAGACCAAUAAUAACAAUGUGUAACUACAAUUAACCUCACUCACGGAUCAUCUCCUUCGCGCCGUCCUUCCCUCCAUAGCCUCCAUCAUGCCUGUCGGUACUUCUCUUUGCCUGUUCUUCUCUCACUCGUCUUUGGAUCGUCUUUCGGUCCUUACCUUCCACGCCGCACCUACUUCCAUCGCAGAUGGAAGUUGCAGGUUGCCGACUUCCCAUCGCAACGAUCAUGUCCCUGUUUAAUAACUUCAGGUCAUCAAUUUUCUCUUUUUUUUUUUUGCUUUUCCUUUUCUCAACAAAAGCCAUUUUUCAAGGUCGAG
RNAcentral lists this long non-coding RNA (379 nucleotides) under Salvia miltiorrhiza (redroot sage). Its description in RNAcentral is "long non-coding RNA (SMIL_LNC003944)". Lineage: Eukaryota; Viridiplantae; Streptophyta; Magnoliopsida; Lamiales; Lamiaceae. The record is from RNAcentral.